AAAACGACUCUCGGCAACGGAUAUCUCGGCUCUCGCAUCGAUGAAGAACGUAGCGAAAUGCGAUACUUGGUGUGAAUUGCAGAAUCCCGUGAACCAUCGAGUCUUUGAACGCAAGUUGCGCCCCAAGCCGUUAGACCGAGGGCACGCCUGCCUGGGUGUCAC
This 162-nucleotide ribosomal RNA is filed under the name Acer spicatum (mountain maple). RNAcentral describes it as "5.8S ribosomal RNA". It matches the Rfam family "5.8S ribosomal RNA". Rfam says of the family: 5.8S ribosomal RNA (5.8S rRNA) is a component of the large subunit of the eukaryotic ribosome. It is transcribed by RNA polymerase I as part of the 45S precursor that also contains 18S and 28S rRNA. Functionally, it is thought that 5.8S rRNA may be involved in ribosome translocation. The record is from RNAcentral. Lineage: Eukaryota; Viridiplantae; Streptophyta; Magnoliopsida; Sapindales; Sapindaceae.